This is a long non-coding RNA of Acanthochromis polyacanthus (spiny chromis), 497 nucleotides long. RefSeq lists it as uncharacterized. The record is from RefSeq and is a predicted model, not a curated record. Lineage: Eukaryota; Metazoa; Chordata; Actinopteri; Pomacentridae. The transcript has 2 exons.
UGUCCCCGGUUGGCGCGUCCGUCUGUGCGCCUUCAGUUACUGCGUCACCCGCUGCGGGCUGUGGAAACGUGCUGAGCAGCAUGGGUUCUCCUCCUCCCUCGUGUGUGUCUGUGUGUGUCCACUGACAGGCUUGUGCGCGCUGCUGAUGUCUCCUGACUGGGACCGCUGCUGCUUCGUCUCCACUGUUGUCUCCUACCGCUGCUCCUCUGUCUGCAGUUGCUGAGGGCCGGUGGUGUUGGUGCUGGUGUCCCUCUCCUUGUGUGCUGUGCUCUGGGGGAAUUGGUUCAUGUUACGAGUGUAGUAUGUCACGUAUGCUUGGGGUGUUUUUACAUUAUUUUGGGGUGAUUCCUUCCCCUUCACUAGCCCCAUCCACCUGGUGGCCUAGCAACUGAUUUGAUUUCUUUUGUUCCUUUUUCUUUGCCCCUCGUGUGAAUGGUGUUUAAUUGGUUUUUAAAAGUGCAUUUUUAAAAAAUUGUAAUAAAACAUUUGAAUUUGGA